This is a long non-coding RNA of Passer montanus (Eurasian tree sparrow), 190 nucleotides long. RefSeq lists it as uncharacterized. The transcript has 3 exons. The record is from RefSeq and is a predicted model, not a curated record. NCBI's taxonomy places the organism in Eukaryota, Metazoa, Chordata, Aves, Passeriformes, Passeridae.
GGGAGCACCGGGAGCCAGGGGCAAGGGUGAAGGCUGCACUGGGAGCGGGGCUGAGCCAGAGCCGGAAGGGAGCGAUGAUUGGCUGCCAGGCGAGAGGCGCGCUGUGAUUGGCCGGUUCCUGGAGAGCGUCGCGUCAUCGGUGCAUGCGGCAGUGAGGGAGGGGCCGCCCCCGCCCAGCAGCCGCCCCCUC